RNAcentral lists this long non-coding RNA (853 nucleotides) under Monodelphis domestica (gray short-tailed opossum). RNAcentral describes it as "lncRNA (ENSMODG00000030352.2)". The record is from RNAcentral. Lineage: Eukaryota; Metazoa; Chordata; Mammalia; Didelphimorphia; Didelphidae.
AUGCCGCGUCUGCGCAUUGACUUCCUCUCUGUCUCUCUCUCUCCCCUCCCCCAUUCAUUCUGCUGGAGCUCAAGAAGCCAAGAGGCGCUCCCUUCAGAAGCUGCCAAUCCGCACCGGAGAUUCCCAGCAUGCCCUGGGGUCGCCACAGGGAAGGUGGUGAUGUUUGCCAAGAAUGAUUGCAAAUGGGAUUGCAUCCAAACUGGUCAACCCAGAAGAGCGGGAAGCUGGCCUGAGACUGGCAAAAUAAAAAGGACAAGAUCCUCCAAUGAUUUGAAGAAAGGAUUGAAAGUGCAAUGGAGAACAGCUGUGUCAUGCUGUGGCUAGAACAUGCUCAGCACAGGGUUUGGGCUAUUCAGAACUGUUAUCAACCUAUGUUAAAGUAAGAGAUAGAGAUCUUCUGGACCAGCCUCUCCCCCUCCUAUGGAUAUACUCAGAGCUCCUGGCUUCCAGAACACCAUCGUUUCCCAUCCUCUGUGAUGUAUAAUGCUCCUUAUGUUCUUGUGUACAAGCCUGUGAAAAGCCUCAGAGAUCCACUGGCCAAAUGCUGAGGGACAAAUAUGAGAGUUCCUUCCUUGGACUCAAAGAUGGAGGUCCAUUUCCCCACUUUGAUCAGUUGUUUUUACUUCUUCCUUCUGGAAUUAAUUAAGAAUCAUCCUGCCUUAUUCUAUCUUCAUUAUUCCCUCAAAUGAUAUAAUAAGAUGUUCCCUCAAGCAGAGGGAUUCUUGUGUGCAGUCUUAGAUCCAGCAGUUUGGAGACCAGCAGAAUUGAUUAAGCUUAGCAUUGGAGAUUGGAUUAGACAGAAGUCUUACUACCUUAUCAACAAAAUGUAAAAUAAAUAAUUUUGACUACAUCA